This 487-nucleotide ribosomal RNA is filed under the name Dendrelaphis formosus. RNAcentral's name for it is "partial 16S ribosomal RNA". It matches the Rfam family "Bacterial large subunit ribosomal RNA", at positions 1912 to 2620 of the family's 2925-position model. The record is from RNAcentral. Lineage: Eukaryota; Metazoa; Chordata; Lepidosauria; Squamata; Colubridae.
GUGAACAAUUAAACGGCCGCGGUACCCUAACCGUGCAAAGGUAGCAUAAUCAUUUGUCUACUAAUUAUAGACCUGUAUGAAAGGCAAAAUGAGGGUCUAACUGUCUCUUAUAGUCAAUCCAUUAAACUGAUCUACUAGUAAAAAAGCUAGAAUUACACCAUAAGACCAGAAGACCCUGUGAAGCUUAAACUAAACUAUUAAACCCGAUAAUAACUACUUUCGGUUGGGGCGACCUUGGAAUAAAAAAGAACUUCCAAACAAUAUAUAUUUAUAUACUAUAGGCCCACAAGCCAACUUAAGACCCAGCAAAGCUGAAAAUUGAAAUAAGUUACUCCAGGGAUAACAGCGCAAUCCUCUUCAAGAGCCCAUAUCAAAAAGAGGGUUUACGACCUCGAUGUUGGAUCAGGACAUCCUAUUGGUGCAGAAGCUAUUAAGGGUUCGUUUGUUCAACGAUUAAUAGUCCUACGUGAUCUGAGUUCAGACCGGA